UACGGAGGGGGCUAGCGUUGUUCGGAAUUACUGGGCGUAAAGCGCGCGUAGGCGGACUGUUGAGUCGGGGGUGAAAUCCCGGGGCUCAACCCCGGAACGGCCUUCGAUACUGGCAGUCUGGAGGACGGAAGAGGUCAGUGGAAUGGCGAGUGUAGAGGUGAAAUUCGUAGAUAUUCGCCGGAACACCAGUGGCGAAGGCGACUGACUGGUCCGUUUCUGACGCUGAGGCGCGAAAGCGUGGGGAGCAAACAGG
Molecule: ribosomal RNA, 253 nt
Filed under: uncultured bacterium
Lineage: Bacteria
Description: partial 16S ribosomal RNA
Rfam family: Bacterial small subunit ribosomal RNA
Source: RNAcentral